UCCUGUGUAGCUAAAAUGGUGAAGAAUCUGCCUGCAAUGCAGGAGACCUGGGUUCUAUCCCUGGCUUGGGAA
Molecule: transfer RNA, 72 nt
Filed under: Bos taurus (domestic cattle)
Lineage: Eukaryota; Metazoa; Chordata; Mammalia; Artiodactyla; Bovidae
Also listed under: 5 other names
Rfam family: tRNA
About the family: Transfer RNA (tRNA) molecules are approximately 80 nucleotides in length.
Source: Rfam by way of RNAcentral